Long non-coding RNA from Cyanistes caeruleus (blue tit), 1848 nucleotides. The record is from Ensembl. Lineage: Eukaryota; Metazoa; Chordata; Aves; Passeriformes; Paridae.
GUCUUUAUAAGGCAACAAUUCUGGGGCAUCUGGGACAGCACUAAGGGGAUGAUCCGUGCUCUGGCUGGGUGGAGGAACCUCGCGCUGCCCCACACUCCUUUCACCCCUAGGUACCAGAGCAUCCUAUGAAAUCUGAUCCUGUUGGCUCUAAUCUUUGGCUGGCCAUUUAUGUACUGAAUUUGCAGAGUUGCAAACAAAGGCUGGGAUCAUGAUGGGGAGGCAAGAAGAGGCAGGACUCUGCAGGGCCAGGUGGAGCGAGGGCAUCUUUGAAGGAUCACCACCGUGGAAAUACAAGUUCUGCAUGCCGGAAUUAAAGCAAAACAGAGCCCAGUGCACUCCCUACUUUGGAUUUCAAUGUAUCCUACUUGACCCUUGCCUGUGCUGGGCUUCACUCACAUCCAAAAGCUUUGUCCACACCUGAGGAGGCAUCAGGUUCAGAGUGAAGAUGGCUCAAGCUGUUUCCUUGGUCCUGUUGCUCCAGCUGUCAGCGGAGGCAGGCUGUCGUUGCUUAUCUGGCUGCUAAAUCCUUCACAACUCCCCAUGUGAUAUCUUACAAACAUUUUGGAAUGAACUGAUGUGCAGAUUUGCAAAUUAUUCAUAGGAACCUGUGCCUCAGCUUGCAGUAUAUCUUUUCAGAGCCAUGGCAGGCAACCGGCUACCCAAAGUUAAGAAGUUUGGGGGAGCAGAGUGGGACUGGGUUCCACUCAGGGAUGCUGGAUAUCCUGAGUGACCAGUGGAUGGAUGGAAGGUGUGGGUAUGUGCAGCAUCUGGCAUUUCUCUGCUUUCUGUUCUCUGCCUAAGGGCAUAGUGAAGAAUUACCAGGGUCUGCAGUUAUUUUCAAGAGUAGGUGGAGUGGGCAAAUGGGUGUGCUGAUGCCUGGUGGUCUCUGCUGAAUGGGUAAGGGGACAUACAGUUCUGUGGAGGCAGAAAAAUGUACUGGAGGCUGGGAGAGAGCGGCUGUAACAGGGACACUCUGAAGGACGUGGAGAUGUGGAGUUAACCUGUGAUUAUUUUAGGAGAACAAGAGAGCUGAAGGAACCUUUUCAUCCAGAACAGGAGAGUGCUGUUCCACUGAUGCAAGGAGCCACACUGAUGGCAAGUGAGAAGAUUUUCAGGUCUUUCUGUGCUUGGUUCUUUGCGAGAUGUCAGCAUUCCUGUCCCUGGCUGCUCAGGAGGAGCAAGGGAGUGGCUGGAGGCACGUGGCGUCUGCCCAGCUUCAGCUCUGCCCAAGACAAGGAAACCCUCAAGAUGAGAUAAGGCAGGUCUGAUAGGGAGCUUGGGGAUUUUCAGAUUUUCCUUUCCCUCCACAAGAUAAACAAAAGAAAGGAAAAAGGAAAGUCUUGAGAAAAAAAAAUGUAUAGGGUUGAAAAAUACCACUAAGAGUCACUAUUUUCAUUUUUUUGCCAUUAAAAAUAUUGUUUUGCUUCUUUGAAAGAGCACCAAUUGUUUAAUUGACCCCAAAAAGGAAAUGGAUUUUCUGUUCUUUUAUAAGAACCCGAUGUGCUGACAUUUUCCAUCCCGAACUAGAAUUAAAACAGCCACACUGAGAAAACUCAGUGUAUUUUAUUCAUCAAAGAACGGAGACUACUUUGAGGGAGGAGUUGAGGGAGGCUGUAGUUUCAUGUUGCAUUUUCUUUGUGAGCAGAGCAGCCCUGGGUGUGUUUUGUUUUGCAUUUUUUUUUUGAGAUCUUUUAAGCCAGUUAGAAGAUGGGCUCACUGAUCCGGUUUGCCGGGCACACAGUCAUUGCUGGCACAACUGCCAGGGCAGCAGGGAACAGCGAACAGGGGGGGCACGGACAGGCCUGUCGGGCUUUGUCAGACAAUAAAAGGUAACACAAAACUGUAACA